RNAcentral lists this small nucleolar RNA (98 nucleotides) under Oryza sativa Indica Group (long-grained rice). RNAcentral describes it as "Small nucleolar RNA R44/J54/Z268". The record is from RNAcentral. Lineage: Eukaryota; Viridiplantae; Streptophyta; Magnoliopsida; Poales; Poaceae.
GAAGCAGGUGAUGAAAGCAAGACAGGGACAUCAACACCCUCUAUAUUUCAGAGAUGGGAAUGAUCGACUGAAGUCAUGAGCGGCGACGGCGAGACAUU